CAUAUGUCUGCGGCGGUCCCUGCGCCCACCGGAUUCCACCGCCCUCUCUCGCUGGGCUGACUUGCAUCGAAAAGGCGGCGGGGGGGGGAAGGAAAGGGGAGUGUGUGUGUGUGUUUGUGUGUCGAGGCGGCGCGCGCGGCGGCGGCUGCGGCGGGCGGUGUUGUUAAAACACUUUCUUACCGUAAGAGGGAGUUGGGACCCAGCGCGUUCCAGUUAAUCACACAACAACAAAAACUUGGGUCAUCGCAAUAAAAAGCAGCUCGGCUUGCUGCGUCUCUUCUGUUGCACGGCUGGGCAUCUUCCUUUCACCACCUUUGGCGCCCUUUCGGGGUGACCCAAGAAAAAGCGCAGCUUCUCAAACCACCCAUGUGGGCCAUCCAGCUGUUGCCCCUCGGACUCGUCCUUCAGUCCCUCCUGGACGCCCCUCUGGCAGAAGGAAAGGGGAAAAGAAAUCCUCUACAUGACUAUAGAAGGACAUCCGAUACGUUAUUAGUGGGAACAGACAAGACACUGAAAGUGAAAACUAAGCUGCUAAAUAGUGCGGAACAGUGUGCCAAGAGAUGCAACAGAAGCAAAGGCCUUCCCUUCAUUUGCAAAGCAUUUGUGUUUGAUAAAACUACAAAACGUUGUCGCUGGCUAUCCUUUACUAGCCUAGAAAAUGGAGCAGUGAGAAGGCAGAACAACACAUUUGUUCUCUAUGAAAAAAAAGACUAUGUGAGAAAUUGUAUCACUGGGAAAGGAGCAAGUUAUAAGGGAACCAUAUCCAUCACAAGGAGUGGAAUCCGAUGUCAGGCAUGGGAUUCCACAAUACCUCACGAACACAGCUUUUUGCCUUCGAGCUAUCGGGGUAAAGAUCUCCGGGAAAACUACUGCCGGAACCCCAGAGGAGAAGAAGGUGGACCUUGGUGUUUCACAGUUGAUCCAAAAGUGCGGCAUGAAGCUUGUGACAUCCCUUUCUGUUCAGAAGUUGAAUGCAUGACAUGCAAUGGUGAAGACUAUAGAGGCCCAAUGGACCACACAGAAACCGGCAAGGAAUGUCAGCGCUGGGAUCUUCAAAGACCACAUGCACACCAGUAUCGCCCAGAGAGAUAUCCUGAUAAAGGCUUUGAUGAUAAUUACUGCCGCAAUCCGGAUGGUAAACCGAGACCAUGGUGUUUCACUCUUGACCCAAACACCCGCUGGGAGUUUUGCAACAUCAAAACGUGUGCUCAGCAUGUGAUGAACAACUCUGUAUCAGUAACUGAGACAACAGAGUGCAUUAGUGGACAAGGAGAAGACUACCGUGGUACUGUGAGCACUAUCUGGAGUGGGGUUGAAUGCCAACGAUGGGACUCCCAGACUCCUCAUAAACACAACUUCACGCAAGAGAACUUUAAAUGCAAAGACUUAAGAGAGAACUACUGCCGAAAUCCCAAUGGACAGGAGGCACCCUGGUGUUUUACUACAAACCCAGAGAUUCGCACUGGGUAUUGCUCUCAAAUACCGAAAUGCAAUGUGCCGAGCAAGCAAGAUUGCUAUCAAGGGAAUGGGUCAAAUUAUAAGGGAGAUUUAGCCCGGACCCGGUUUGGCUUAACUUGCUCUCCAUGGAAUCAAAAUUUUCAAGAUUUAAUGCGGCAUCUGCCACUAUACAGAGACCUAGAGAUUAGCAAACUCAAGGAAAACUAUUGUCGCAAUCCAGACGAUGAUGCUCAUGGACCUUGGUGUUAUACAAGUGAUCCUCAAAUCCCUUGGGAUUAUUGCCCCAUAUCAAGAUGUGAAGAUGAUGUAACACCAAGCAGUUCAAAUCCUAAUGUCAUUCCAUGUGCCUCAACAAAACAAUUGAGAGUUGUUAAUGGAAACCCAGCUCAACCUGACAAGGCAUGGAUGGUUAGUUUGAAAGACAGCAGAGGCAGACAUUUCUGCGGAGGUACACUGGUAAAGGAAGACUGGGUCCUGACAGCAAAGCAGUGCUUUCCUUCUCGGUAUAACCUCAAUGACUACCAAGCCUGGCUUGGAAUACAUAAUGUUGAAAGAGCACAUGAAGAGGAGCGUAAGCAGGUUCUGAAUAUCUCCCAGCUGGUGGAUGGCCCCAAAGGAUCAGAUCUGGUUUUACUGAAGCUUUCCAGACCUGCAGUAAGCAGUGAUGCUGUGGUUAUCAUCAGGUUGCCCAUUUCUGGAUGUACCAUUCCGGAAGGCACUGCCUGCACUGCAUAUGGAUGGGGACAUACAGGACGAGCCGACUUCGAUGGGCAACUUCAAGAAGUCAACAUGGUUGUUAUGAGAAAUGAGCACUGCAAUCGGGAUUUUGGUGGCAACGUAGUUGUGAAAGAGUCAGAAAUGUGUGCCAUGGCUGAGAGAAUUGGCAGCGGGACCUGUGAGAGGGAUUAUGGCGGUCCAUUGGUCUGUGAACAAAACAGAAUUAAAAUAGUAGUGGGAGUAAUUAUUCCUGGGCGUGGAUGUGCAAUCCCUGGACGACCUGGGGUUUUUGUCAGGGUGGCCUUCUACUCCAAAUGGAUACAUAAAAUCUUAAUGACAUACAGAUCGUAGCUUCCAGCCAAGAAAGGAAAUUCCAGUUACGAGAACAUUUUGGAAAGUAUGAAGUCAAAUUGUAAUAGAAAAAGCCUUGUUGGUUACAAACAAACAAACAACAUUGAUCAAGUACUACUUGAUCGUCAAAUUUUGCAGAUAUUUAUGGAUCUUUCUGUCAUGUUCUGCCUCAUAUUGCGCUAUAUGACAUGAACUGUGGUAUAAGCAAGAAUGGUGACCUAUUUCCUGAAGAUACUUGAAUGAAAAGCAAAACUGCAAAGCGUGAUUGCUGGAUGCGGAUAUGUUCUGUGGAAUUAGAAUGCCCAAUUUCUUGUCUGCUGCUGCUUAUUGUCAGCUUGUUGGGGAGAUGCAAACACAAUUUGAAAUUUAUAGUAUUUUUCCUUACCUACAUAAGUCUCUUUAUUCUUCUUUACAGCAAUGAUAAAUAUGUGCAUCAGCCAGAAAUGAUGCUGUUCUCCUAGCAAAAGCAAGGUUUAAAUUAUAUUUUCACUUCUUUACAAGUGAUUACUUGGAUUUACAUCCCAGUUCAACAAAGUUGCCACAAGCACACCCUAAUGGUAGGGAAAGGCCCUUGUGUAAAAUGUUUGUGGGAUUUGUUGGUGUGUUUGCAGUUGUUAUGAUCCAUGACAACAACUUCUUAAAUUAAUUGAUAUGCUUUGGAAGAUGACCCAUUGAUAAGCCAUUAUUGCAAUUAUAUUUUUGAAAUUUUUGAACUUUAUUUUCCUAUGUGUAUUUACAAUAAGAAGGUAUGUUAAAGGAUUCCAUGCAGUUGAUUUCAUUGUACAUAUAGCAGACCUAAAAAAACAAACAAAACAAACCAAGCAGUAUAUGGAUUUGGACCUAAAAAUGUGUCCAAUGAAUUGUAUGUCCAAGCUUUUACAUGUGGCCAGCCGUGCAGAUAACGUUGAAACUGAGGAGUUGUUUCAAGUACAGUUUGUGCCAGAACUUGAGAGUGGGUUUAAACUUUGAUGUACUUCUCCUCUCAGAAUACUACAGCGAGAAUGACCAAUGACUUUGAGAGUCAUAGUGAAAAAGAGAAAGAAAGGGAGAGGAGGAGGAGGAAGAGGAGAAGAAAAAAAUACAUUUCCAAACUCUAGUUUGUACUAUGGCAUGCAAUGGUGAAGGGCUUCCUUUGAAACAACAACAAAGUAUAGAAAUUCUACUGGGAAUGCUGGACGUUGCUUUUGGUAUAUCAAUCAUAGUAUUUGAUUGAGGCACCUUUUGUGCUUUGCUGUCCUGCUUUCCAUCUCUUUUGUUCCCAAAUUGAAGUCUCCAGAUGUAGUCUCCAGAUGGUUUCUCCAGAAACCUCAAGUGUUGGCUAUGUUGACUUCUAGGAAUUGUAGUCCACCAACAUCUGUUGACUUCUGUUUGGGAGCAACUAUCUUCAUGGCUUGGUAGAGAGGAGCAAUGUAUUUCACCUUCUCUUCACCUAUGAUUUUUUAAAGGUUCAGCCACUGUGUCUCCUCUAAAAAACAGGCCGCUCCACAGCUUACAGUAGAAUUGCUCUGAAGAUGUGUUCCCUCAAAAAUUCACUCUGAUGACUUUCCCACACAACACACUGUUUGUACAGUACACUAGCUGCUUUGCUCCCAAUUUCUAGCCAAUGCUCCAGGUCUGUUUUUGUGUUAGAAUACAAGCCUAGAACCCAGGGUAAGCAAAAACAGAUGGUAGUAGGCAGUUUGGUAAACAGAUCUACACUUUUUUACAUGGUAACAAAUAUGUAAACCUCAGCCAUAUAUUAGGAAUUGCAUUGAUGGCUGGAUAGCUCAGUGAAUCAGGUAUUGGUUGGGAUUUCAAUUCCCUGCUGUGCCUUGAAGGAGAAGGACCAACCUGUGUAGUCUUGGGCCAGCUUUGUAAUCCCAAAAUACCCCAGAAGAAGGGAAUGGUAAACCAGUUCUCGGUAUUCUUUACUUAGAAAAUGCUAGAAAGGAUACCAUAUCAGAAUUGACUUGACUGCAUGUAAUUAUUAUUAUUAAAAGGCUUUAGUUAACAUACCUGCAACAUUCAAGCAAACUGUGUAUUACUGGAUUGUAAGAAUAUCAGAUCAAGUCCUUUCUCUUACCAUUGUGCAGUCUCAAACAAUGUUUUCUAGUUGUUUAAAGCCACAAGGCACCAGGUGAUCUCUAAAAAUUCUUGUUAAUAAGUGGGCCCUUUUCACAUGAGCCUAUAUUACAGCCAUAACUUCCCUCUGAAUGCUUCUUCUCAUUAUUGUUGAAUGGGUCCUGUGUAGGUUUGGUUUUUUUUUCUUUCAGGGGUAGAAAGAUAAUUUAAUUACAGCAAGGGGAGGCAGAUAUCAAGCUAGUAAGAUAUACGUUUUUGAAUUGGACUCUGAGAUUAGCCAACCUUCGGUACAGAAGACAUAUACCUUUGAAAUCAGAGCAGUGAUUCAGAACCUUGGAUCCUUAGAUGUUCUUGGACUGAAAUUCCUGGAAGCCUCUACCACCAGUUGUGCUGGCCAGUAUUUCUAGGAGUUCUAGUCCAUGAACAUCUGGGAACACAACGUUGACAACCAAAAAAUUAAAGAAUUCUGAUGCCAGGACUUUGAGUACUAGAGCAAAACUCAGAUCAGAUUCCCUGCAACCUUGAUUAUCCAAACCUUUUUUCAUACAAACAGUUGUAAGCUCAGGGUGGGUAGGGUAUUCUCUUGUUGCUGCUAUUGUUAAACGGAGAUCAGAAAUGCUUACUGAUCUAUUUCAAAUCAUGGAGAGAUCUAUCAGGUUAACUAUCAGCAGAGGACUGCUUCCCAUUUUACAUAGUAAGAAAACUAGGGUGCCACUGAGUAUUUACUGAAAGAGAGGCACCCUUAACACUGGUUGUUUUGUCAAAUGUAUUUCAAAAACACUCACUGGUUGCAUUUACACUUUAAAUAAAUUCUUAAAUGUAUAUCUGAAAAAUAUGUUUCAGCUAGGCCUUACUAGUCAACAAACUAGCUCCCUUGUUAUAGGACCAAACAGACAAAUUGUAAUACCCUGAAACAUAUAAGGCUUUUGUAUACUUAUGUUGUACUUUUGUUAAAAGGAUUUGAAUGACUUUUUAUAAGCCAAUAGCAAAACUUUUACAAGGAAUAAUGAUUUAUAUGUGUUUGUGUGUAUAUGUUCAGGACUUGUCAUUUACAUGCCAUUUUCAGAGUUUCUGACAGGAAUAAGCUUUUUUUUAAGAGCAUGCAUAUUCAAGGCAAAAAUGUGGUAUGAAUAUGAAAUUAGAAUUUUUAGUUCUGGCCCACAUUAGUGAUAACACACAUUCUUAAAGCAUGUGUUCCUAGACUGGAAUAUAUCCAGCUCCAACCCAUAAUAACAACUAAAAGUUCUUGGAUUUAAGCCAAUUAAACCAAGCUUAAUUUCAUUCCUUUAGUUUAAUAGAGUUAUGGCUCAUGUUAAGGCAUUUUGGCAGUUAGCCUUUUCCUCUUUAAAAAAACUAUCUUUUUUCCUCUUUACCCCACUCUCUGUUUGUACCAGUUACAUAAUGUGAUGUUUAUGAGGCUAUAGCAAAAAUGUAAUUCAUUUUGCAUUUUUCUCAAGAUUUAUGUAUCCUCUGUAUUAUAUGUGCAAGCCUUUUGUAUUAUGUAUGCAGGCAUUUUGUUUGGUGUAAUAAAAAUGAUUCUAAAAUAUUAUAUACUUCUGCUGUGCAGAAGACAAUAUGAGUUUAUAUAUAAAUAUAUAUAAAAAUAAAUAUAUAUAGGGUCAGGUGUUAAAACUACAUGUAAGGCUUUAAAAAGUAUUUGUUCUGAGCCGAGUCUCGGUAGAAUGCAUUGUACAGAGAUUAUAAUUUAGAAAUUAACAAAUGCUUGUCUAUCAGGCCUUUUUUGUGGCUAAUUUACACAGUGGCCAGAAUCCUGUUGGUGUGUUACAUGUCGCAGCUAGUUGCUAUGGUCCUGGGAUGCCUCUGGAUUGUGCAGUUGAGCACCUGACCCAGCGUCUGACCAACAGAUGCUCUGGCACCUUGUCAGUGAGCAGAUCAUAAACAAAUACCAGUGGGAUUUUGGCCAGUGUUUUUUUUUUCCUGUCCUGAUCAUCUUGUGGUACACAUUCACAUGGAGAGACAUCAUAAUAACAACAGGCAACCACAGUUAAAAGAGCAACUCCUGAGACUGCAAGAGAAAUGUUAAAGUGGAAUAGUGGGGGUAUGUUUACAGUCAGUAGAUAUGCUGGCUAGGUGAUUCUAGUAUUUAUAAUCAAAAAGGGUAAGUUUUCUAAGCUCUGCCGUAAAUAGUGCAUUAAGGGCAUGACCCUAUUGCACCCAUUGGUGUGACAAGUGCACGCUGUAUCUGGUCUGGAGUUGGCUGGGUCCACAAAUUGUAUACGUUGCACUAACUUACAGGUGUAAGUGAACGGCAAAUGAAGGAGCUCCCAGUUUCUGUAUGUCAUGCAUUUCUGCCCUUCGCAGACUUUUCAUCCCAGUGCAGCCUCUGGCUAUCAGGUGUGCUGUUAGUUUGAGGGAGUUUAAAAGGGAAGCCCUGCAGAACAGGCGUGUGGAUCACACCUCAUUUCUGCAAACUACAGGCUGGGAUUCAACAAGCUCCUCAAACAUGGGUGCAGACCUGCUGAAUUCUAGACUAUUCUUUGAACAGUUGAUUCUCCCCACAUCCCCAUGCGUUUACAACACAGUUCUUUUGAAAUCAAACUUAGUUUCAAAACUGGUUGGCCUUGAAGCACUACAGGCAGCUGUUAAGGAAAGCCAGUUGAAAGCCCUUCUGUGUUCACAGAGGUAGUUCCACCCCGUACAAGACAUGAUUAGGAUCCCUACAGUUUAUAAAUCAGGACCCUUUCACAGGGUUGUGUUGAAUGGGUGAUCUGAGGUUAACCCUUUCUGGGCAAUAAAUUCAGAACUUGGAAAUGUUGCCAUUCCCUUGGGUAAUCCUUAGAAUCUCCCAGCCACCAUGGACUCUUAAGAGAUUCUGGAAGCUUUCAUCUGAAAGCUUAUUUAACUCUUAGAAUCACGUCACUGUGGUUGUCUCUCCUGCUAUCAGGAGAGACAACUUGGUGGGAGAAAGUCAGUGAUAUGACAUCUCCAGGGGUGGUGGCAUCUGUGGUUCAACCUUGAGUCCCCAGAUGUUCUAGGAUGAAAACUCUUACAAGCCUUCACCACUAGCUGUACUGGCCAGGAUUUCUGAGAGUUGUCGUCCGGGAACAUCUGGGGACCUAAGAUUGGGAACCAUUUGGGUAAAGGCUUGGGAGGAAAGAUUUAAACCCCCUCUCCCAGAAUAUCACUUACUCAGUUCUCAAAGCAGCUCCUUGCUCAUUAGUGAAAUGGGACCGGCAGGGAAUCCUAAGCAUGGGGCUUUUCUAGCUUGGCCCUUUGUCUUUCCAUGUGAAUGAGAAAGUACCUGGUGAUGUUUGAUGAUGCAGCAUCAGGAAUUAAAAUCUCUGUGUCGAUUGGCCUUUGGCCUUCUCUUUUUGGUAGUGAUGGGUUCUGGAAAAAAAAGGAAGGGAAAUUGAAUGAUACUGGGCAAAGAAUGUGUGCUUCAUUUAUUCCUGUGAAUAUUUCUUGUUGGUACCCAUGGUACUUUACCAUGCAAGUGUUACAAUUACAGCACUUGUGCUGAGAAGGGCACUGUCAAGGAGCUAUUGCUUUGGUCACCUCUCUUUUCUGCUGUACUUGGAUCAUAGGCAGAAUGAUUUCUGACUGAAUAAGAAUAAUUGGCCUCAUCAGCCCUGGAAGUAGAAACUACAAAACAGGAUACAUCCUGUACUUGGCUCCCUUGCAUGUGCCUAUAUUUUUGUUAAUUGCACAUAAGUACUUGUUUUAAGUCAAAACCACAAUGUAAUGUUCAUGUAUUUGUUUUGUGUGUGGAUUUUGGCUUGAAAUAGGCAGAAGGUAGUUUAAUGUGAGAAGUUUUUUUCUUUUAGUUUUUGAAAUGUUUUAACUUAUUGCUGUGUUUUCAUAGUUUAUCCUGUAUUCGGCUUAUGCCCGAAUAGCAGAGAGAGCGAGAAGGAGAAAUGCUCUGAGCAGGACUCCAUGGUCUUUUCUAAAACAUAAAAGACAAUCCACAAAGGAACAAUGUUCCACCAGGUCCCAUUGGAAACCACACUAGACCAAGUACAGGGAAUGUGUGGCCCUUCAGACAUUGUCAGGCAGCAGCUCCCAGCUCCCUAGGCGAUUGUAAGAGAUCACUGGGGUCGUGGUCCAACAACACCACACAUUCUUCCUCUCUUCUCUAGGACAUUUCUGGCAACUCUGUUUCAUCCACACAGUUUGUGAUAUUUAGUUGGGGGCUGAGCUUUUUCAUGUUUGCUGGUACAUUCUUGACUCAUGAGUAUUGGCCUGCUAGUGAAAGGAACAAUGUUAUGUCUUUAAACUCAUUAUUGACAGUGUCCGUCCAGUUUUACAGUGCUGUAAAUGGAACAACUUUCAGUUUUUCUUCAGUACUUUCUAGUAGAUGCUGCCUGUUGAUGCUGUCACUUGGAAACCUAUUCACACUAUGGUUCUGACUUUACAGUAAUUUCUAUAAGUAAAGGCGUCAACAUUAGCCAUUA
This is a non-coding RNA of Pogona vitticeps (central bearded dragon), 8999 nucleotides long. The record is from RefSeq and is a predicted model, not a curated record. NCBI's taxonomy places the organism in Eukaryota, Metazoa, Chordata, Lepidosauria, Squamata, Agamidae.